UGGGGUGUGGCUCAGCGGUAGAGCACUUGCCUCCUAUGUGUGAGGCACUGAGUUCCAUCCUCAGCACCACAU
RNAcentral lists this transfer RNA (72 nucleotides) under Marmota marmota marmota (Alpine marmot). It matches the Rfam family "tRNA". Rfam says of the family: Transfer RNA (tRNA) molecules are approximately 80 nucleotides in length. RNAcentral also lists the same sequence under 1 other name. The record is from Rfam by way of RNAcentral. Lineage: Eukaryota; Metazoa; Chordata; Mammalia; Rodentia; Sciuridae.